Molecule: ribosomal RNA, 802 nt
Filed under: Gymnothorax polygonius (polygon moray)
Lineage: Eukaryota; Metazoa; Chordata; Actinopteri; Anguilliformes; Muraenidae
Description: partial 16S ribosomal RNA
Rfam family: Bacterial large subunit ribosomal RNA
Source: RNAcentral
AAGGCACUUUCCCCAGUGGGCCUAAAAGCAGCCACCUGUAAAGAUAGCGUUAAAGCUCAAGCAUACUUUAACCAAGAAUGUAAAAUAACUAAACCACACCCCCCAAAAAAUACUGAGCCCCCCCAUGAAUAUAUGGAGAAGAUAAUGCUAGAACUAGUAAUAAGAGGGGCCACGCCCCUCUCCCCGCACGAUUGUGAGUCAGACAGGACCAACCACUGAUAACUAACGGACCUAAUAGAAGGCAAAGCAAAGGAAAAAGAACAUACAAGAAUACCAUGCCAGAAUAACCGUCAUCCCAACACAGGAGUGCGCCUGGGAAAGACUAAAAGGAAGAGAAGGAACUCGGCAAAACAAAGUCCCGCCUGUUUACCAAAAACAUCGCCUCUUGCUAACAAUGAAGUAUUAGAGGUCCCGCCUGCCCUGUGACAGCAGUGUUUAACGGCCGCGGUAUUCUAACCGCGCGAAGGUAGCGUAAUCACUUGUCUUUUAAAUGGAGACCUGUAUGAAUGGCAUAACGAGGACUUAACUGUCUCCUUUUCCUGGUCAAUGAAACUGAUCUGCCCGUGCAGAAGCGGGCAUGUUAACAUAAGACGAGAAGACCCUAUGGAGCUUUAGGCAAAUGAUCAUGUACACCAAACCCUGUCUUCAAUCAAAGCCUGGGAAAAUAAACGCUAAUGAUCAACAUGCCUUCGGUUGGGGCGACCGUGGAGGAGAGAAAAGCCUCCAUGUAGAACGGGAGAACCCUUAAACUAAGACAAACAAGUCUAGGUAUCAGAAAUUCUGACUAAAUAUGACCCAGGCC